UCCGGAAACGGGUAGCUAAUACCGCAUAGUUUUCUUGAUUGCAUGAUUGAGAAAGGAAAGACGGCCUUUGUGCUGUCGCUUAUGGAUGGACCCGCGGCGUAUUAGUUAGUUGGUGAGGUAACGGCUCACCAAGACGAUGAUACGUAGCCGACCUGAGAGGGUGAUCGGCCACAUUGGGACUGAGACACGGCCCAAACUCCUACGGGAGGCAGCAGUAGGGAAUCUUCCGCAAUGGACGAAAGUCUGACGGAGCAACGCCGCGUGAGUGAAGAAGGGUUUUUUACCGGGAUCGUAAAACUCUGUUGUCAGAGAAGAACAAGUUGGAGAGUAACUGCUCCAGCCUUGACGGUAUCUGACCAGAAAGCCACGGCUAACUACGUGCCAGCAGCAGC
Molecule: ribosomal RNA, 392 nt
Filed under: uncultured bacterium
Lineage: Bacteria
Description: bacterial SSU rRNA
Rfam family: Bacterial small subunit ribosomal RNA
Source: RNAcentral